RNAcentral lists this transfer RNA (77 nucleotides) under Bacteroidales bacterium. Its description in RNAcentral is "tRNA-Met". It matches the Rfam family "tRNA". Rfam says of the family: Transfer RNA (tRNA) molecules are approximately 80 nucleotides in length. Their secondary structure includes four short double-helical elements and three loops (D, anti-codon, and T loops). The record is from RNAcentral. RNAcentral also lists the same sequence under 2 other names. Lineage: Bacteria; Pseudomonadati; Bacteroidota; Bacteroidia; Bacteroidales.
GGCGGGAUAGCUCAGCUGGUUAGAGCGCUGGAUUCAUAACCCGGAGGUCAUCAGUUCAAGUCUGAUUCCCGCUACCA